Molecule: ribosomal RNA, 402 nt
Filed under: uncultured prokaryote
Description: bacterial SSU rRNA
Rfam family: Bacterial small subunit ribosomal RNA
Source: RNAcentral
UAGGGAAUAUUAGAAAUGGACGAAAGUCUGAUCUAGCAACACCGCGUGUGCGAAGAAGGCCUUCGGGUCGUAAAGCACUUUUUGGAAGGAAUAGGAAGGAAUGUACUUCCAGAAUAAGACUCGGCUAACUACGUGCCAGCAGCAGCGGUAACACGUAGGAGGCGAACGUUAUCCGGAUUUACUGGGCGUAAAGCGCGUGUAGGUGGUUCUGUAAGUAGGGCGUGAAAGCUCCUGGCUCAACUGGGAGAGGCCGUUCUAAACUACAGAACUAGAGGAUGGUAGAGGGAGGUGGAAUUCCAGGUGUAGCGGUGGAAUGCGCAGAUAUCUGGAGGAACACCAGUGGCGAAGGCGGCCUCCUGGACCAUUCCUGACACUCAGACGCGAAAGCUAGGGUAGCAAACG